AGGGAGGAGCUGAUCUGUUCCUGAUCUCUAAAGAGACUCAAACUUCCUCCUUCAGUUCAGUUCAACUCUCCAACAUUAACUCUGCUCAACAUGGACUAUUAUGGUCUGUCUCUGCUCAUCAUCUCUCUGCUAACAGGAGUCAGAUGCCAACAACUCACUGCGCUUCAGAAAGAAGAGUUCGCUGUAGAAAGCAGCAAAGUUACUCUGUCCUACACUUACUCCAAAACAGCAGACGGCAACGAUUAUUUCUUCUGGUAUCGACAAUAUCCUGGAAAAGGUCCAGAGUUCCUGAUCUCCCAUUUAGGAACAGGAACUAAACUCCAGGAUCCGGUUCCUGGUUUCUCCUUCAACAUGAAUGCUGAUAAAACCCAGAUGGAUCUGCUGAUCUCCUCUGCUGCAGUGACAGACUCUGCUGUGUACUACUGCGCUGUGAAGCCCACAGUGACAGGAAACACCAGAACCCUGUACAAAAACCUGCAGUACUCCACAGCAGCCACUAGAGGGCCUCACUCCCUGUUAAACCACUAAAACCUGCAGUUCUCCACACCAGCCACUAGAGGGCCUCACUCCUUGUUAAACCACUAAAACCUGCAGUACUCCACAGC
Molecule: non-coding RNA, 605 nt
Organism: Xiphophorus hellerii (green swordtail)
Lineage: Eukaryota; Metazoa; Chordata; Actinopteri; Cyprinodontiformes; Poeciliidae
Source: the annotation of a RefSeq genome assembly